UAGGGAAGUCUUCCACCAAUGGACGAAAGUCUGAUGGAGCAACGCCGCGUGAGUGAAGAAGGGUUUCGGCUCGUAAAACUCUGUUGUUAAAGAAGAACAUAUCUGAGAGUAACUGUUCAGGUAUUGACGGUAUUUAACCAGAAAGGAACGGCUAAAUACGUGCCAG
This 166-nucleotide ribosomal RNA is filed under the name uncultured bacterium. Its description in RNAcentral is "partial 16S rRNA". It matches the Rfam family "Bacterial small subunit ribosomal RNA", at positions 355 to 511 of the family's 1533-position model. The record is from RNAcentral.